AAAUGCGAUAAGUAGUGUGAAUUGCAGAAUUCAGUGAAUCAUCGAAUCUUUGAACGCACAUUGCGCCCUUUGGUAUUCCUUAGGGCAUGCCUGUUCGAGCGUCAUCUAAACCCUCAAGCCCUGCUUGGUGUUGGGUGCCUGUCCCGCCUCCGCGCGCGGACUCACCUCAAAUCCAUUGGCGGCCCCCGCGUCGGCCACGAGCGCAGCAGAAACGCGAACUCGUGAGCCCGCCCGGGCGGCUCCCAGAAGCUACACCCACCCAGUUUGACCUCGGAUCAGGUAGGGAUACCCGCUGAACUUAAGC
RNAcentral lists this unclassified non-coding RNA (304 nucleotides) under plant metagenome. Its description in RNAcentral is "partial contains 5.8S ribosomal RNA, internal transcribed spacer 2, and large subunit ribosomal RNA". The stretch from base 1 to 104 matches the Rfam family "5.8S ribosomal RNA", at positions 51 to 154 of the family's 154-position model. The record is from RNAcentral.